This is a long non-coding RNA of Sciurus carolinensis (gray squirrel), 3548 nucleotides long. RefSeq lists it as uncharacterized. The transcript has 5 exons. Lineage: Eukaryota; Metazoa; Chordata; Mammalia; Rodentia; Sciuridae. The record is from RefSeq and is a predicted model, not a curated record.
GGAAGUUUUGCAAUUACCAACUUAAAUUCUGUCACUUCACAGGGCAAAAAUUGAUAUGGACAAUGAGAGGGACAUUGUCGAAGAGAUUCUGCACAAUCAAAUUCUCUAUGAAAAAGAGCUGGAUGAUCUUAAGGAACAACUGCAAUAUUCAUCGUCACAGUGUACUUAUCUAAAUGUGGAAAAUCAAUUCCUGAGACAGGAGGUUCUGUCUUUGGAAGAAUUAAAAAUCACAUUUCAAAAACUGGAGGAAGAGAAAAACCAAUUGGAGGAAAAAUUGUCAACCCUUCAAUCUAGAGAAAAUGAUUCAGUGGAAAUUGAUCCAAGAGGACAGUACGAAGCAGCAAAUGAAAAGACAGGGAGGGAGAAAACAUUGGAGGAAACGGUUCAAUCCUUACAGACAAAGAUCUACUUACACCAAUUAAGAGAACAUCACGAUGCGUCCAUGAGAAGUGAGAUGAAGCUGAACAUUCAAGAAAUGAAGGCCAAACUUUUUGACAUGAACAAUCAAGUUUACGCUUAUAAAAUGGAGCUGGAGCAGUAUAAGCAGCUCUAUUUAGACGAAAUGGACAGGAGAAUGUCAUUGUCUGAUGAACUUAGCAUGUGAGUGAAAUUAGUAUCAUAGGAAAUACAUUAAGCUUAUAUAUUUGUCUCUAAAGAAUAACAUUUCAUGAGUCACAGUCAUGAGAUGAUUAGAACAUACAACUCGAAAGACUAAGUUGGAAACAUAUUGGUGGUAAAUAAACUGACUUUUAGAAUAUGAGUGCAGGGCACUUUCUAUAUCUCCCCCCUUUUGGGGCUUAUGUCAUUUCCAUCUUUUCCCAGUAAUGUAGUUUUAUUGCUAAAGUGAUCACUUAAUCUUUAAGUAUUUAUCUAAUGUCACAUUUAACAUCUUACGAGUGACAUGGUUACAAAUUCUCUUAAUAGCAUUCCAUCCAAAAAAUCUCUCAGUAAAUAACUACAUGAGAAAGAUUAUAACUGAAACCCAAAGAGUUGCUAUCUGUAAUCCUCCUCCUCUGGGUGCAUUCCGGUACUUGGUCAAUGAAUUUUCCUUGUUUGAGAUCUUUUCUAUUAUCCCUAGAGGGUCACUGGAGACGAUCUGUCCUUUUGAGUUUUUCAAGUCUACAUAAACUCAUACUUGUGAUACAGGAAAUGGUUAACACACGAUGAAGAAAAGAAUACAUCGCAAAGUGGUUGAAACAAAUUCCUUGGCCCAGUGAAAGGGUCUGAGUGGAAGACAAAGGGUUGGUCCCCCGUCCAGUGCCGUGCUAACGAUGUUUUAAGCUAACUGUCUUCCAGGCUGCUUGAGUUCUUGUGACCACCAAGUGAGUUAUCUGGUUCUCCCCUGGAGGAUGCUGCUGUGAAUUAUUCUGGAGGACGCAGUGCUCAUUUCCUUCCAUCUGAUGUGUGGACUCUGCAGAUCGUGAGAGCAUGUGUUGACAAUGCCUUUGGGGGUACAUCUUCAAAGGCCCAUAAACUGUUUUCACUAAACACAAGUAUUACUGCCUUGACUUUUUGAGUAUUGUAUAUGCAUAUAUUUAGGCAGCAUAUCAUGGUGUUUUAAUGUACAUAGUAUUAGAAUAGACCAUUAGAAUCACCUAAAUUGGCAUAUGCAUCAUCUCACAGUUACCCUGUGAGCAGUGUACUGCUAACAGCAUCUUGCAGGGUCUUAAGAGUGGAGAACUUCCAGAGGGCAGAGGUGUCACCUGUUGACCACACUUCAUUGAUAGUUAUUUCUCCCUCCCCCUCUGUUUGAGCUGUGAGUUAGUUUGAACUAUUAGUUUUUCCCCCUAGGAAUAUAUGUAGCUCAUUCGAGCAAUUUGAAACUUAAAAUUAACUGUACGCGGUAGGUCUGCUCUGACACGUUUAGGAUUGAAACAUUGUUGAGUGGAAAACUCCAUUUACUCUCAUGGUACUUUCUGAAGAAUGCACUUCAUUUAGGGAAAAUGAGAAACUAAUGAUUUUGUUUUCCAAUCUUUGCAGGAUGAAGGAAAGGCUAACGGAAGUUAGUAACGAACUUGCAAGAUGUUGUAAUGUUCAGGAAACAUCAAUGAUCCUAAUGCACACCACCCAUGUUGAAAUAACAGCAUGCAGAACUGUGGCUGUCAGCUCUACCUCUCUUUCAAGUGAGCAGUAUUUUGAAGAAGAAACAUCAUAAAGUCAAGUGAGAAGAAAACCUUUCUGAGACAGUAAAGAAACCCAUCUUGCAGGAUGAUAUUGAAGAUUGGUCUUCUGAUUAUAUAAGAUGAUUAUUUUAUAAAAGACUUUCUAGUGUAUAAGACACAGCAGUGUCCAACUGUGUAUAGUAGCCAGUUAGUUUUCUUCGUUUUUACUUUGUUAUCUGUGUUAUAGCUCAAUAUGGAUUUGUGUUUAUACAAAUUUUAUUUGUAUUUCAUGUUAAACCUGAAAUAUGUGCUUGCUUAUGUGAAAAAAAGAGGCACUAUGACUUUGAUACCUUUCUAAAUUAACAAAUAAAACAGUGCUUUCAGUGUUUUGAUAGCAUGAGAAUGAAGUUCAGCAGUUUGCUAAAAAUGUUUAUUCCUUUUAACAACGUUGAGUAUCCCUUACGCUUGUGUGUUUUUCACUACUCAUGCUUUGGUGAGAUCUUUAUUUAACAGAAUAGGACAGUGAUGAAUGUUGGGAGACAUUUUUCUCAUUUUUCCUGCCUAAUCUGUUCUAGAAACUGUAUUAAACCAUUCCAGAGGGAAAACUUCUGAAUUUCUGUUAAAGAAAUAGUUUGAUUCAAUGGGAUAGCAAAAAUUGGAUGAAAGGGACUUUCAAAUACUCUCUUCAUGUUUUUAAAUUGCCCUGAUGAGACAAACCACUCUACGCUGCCACCAAGCAGGAGGAAACUACAGCCUUCAGUGCCCAGGACCUGCAGAUAGGCUCUUGGGUGUCCCUUGGCAGAGCAGCCCCUCCCUUAGCUUGUCCCCACUCCCUGCUUACUCCAGGGUUGAGGGUGUGUAUAGGUCAGUGUAGAUUUCAUAGUUAGCACUUAAUAGAUCAAUUAGAAUUGCCCAUUGAAUCAAAAUUAUCUUAGUAGCUCUUCAUAUUACGUGUCUAUUCUAUUAUCUAAAUAGUGUGUAUAGCUCAGUGUAGAUUUUGUUAGCAUUUAAUAGAUCAAUUAGAAUUAUCCAUUGAAUCAAAAUUAUCUUAGUAGCUUUCCAUAUUACAUGUCUAUUCUGUUACUAACUAUAACCAGUUCUAGGCUCUGAAACUCUUCUUUUAAGGCCACACUUUAAAAUGAUACUCCCAGAGUUAGAUCUCCCUUUUAAAUUUAGCAUUACUAAUAAUAUUUUUAUUCCUUACACUGUGACAGGUGUUGCAAUGAGGUCUAGUCAGAGAACUGAAACCAAGGUAGUUUGUAAACACAGUGGAGCAAAUUUAAUGUAUUAAUGUAUCAUUUUCUGAAAUAAUCUAUAAAUAGGAAAUGUCCCCUUUUUGGUUAAUAUGUUUUAUGUUAAAUACAUUUUGUUAAAUAUGUUUUGCUCAUUUCAUCAAAUGAGAAAUAGGACAAUAUAAACAUUCUUAGUGAAAUAAACAUCCUUAUU